RNAcentral lists this unclassified non-coding RNA (450 nucleotides) under Homo sapiens (human). Its description in RNAcentral is "ribonuclease P subunit p21 (multiple genes)". The record is from RNAcentral. Lineage: Eukaryota; Metazoa; Chordata; Mammalia; Primates; Hominidae.
AGGCCCUGGAGCGCGGCGGUGAUGGCGGGGCCGGUGAAGGACCGCGAGGCCUUCCAGAGGCUCAACUUCCUGUACCAGGCCGCCCAUUGUGUCCUUGCCCAGGACCCCGAGAACCAGGCGCUGGCGAGGUUUUACUGCUACACUGAGAGGACCAUUGCGAAGCGGCUCGUCUUGCGGCGGCUGCAGGGGACAGCGCUGGACCGUACAGACCUGCCUAACAUGCCAGCGCAGCCAACGCUUCCUCAAUGAUCCCGGGCAUUUACUCUGGGGAGACAGGCCUGAGGCCCAGCUCGGGAGCCAAGCAGAUUCCAAACCACUACAACCCUUGCCAAACACAGCCCACUCCAUUUCAGACCGCCUUCCUGAGGAGAAAAUGCAGACUCAGGGUUCCAGUAACCAGUGAUGGAUUCACCCCAUCUCCCAAAUAAAGUUUACUUGUUUUACAUUCCA